GACGAACGCUGGCGGCGUGCUUAACACAUGCAAGUCGAACGCUGAAGCUCAGCUUUUGUUGGGUGGAUGAGUGGCGAACGGGUGAGUAACACGUGAGUAACCUGCCUCCUUCUUUGGGAUAACGCCCGGAAACGGGUGCUAAUACUGGAUAUUCACUGGUCUUCGCAUGGGGGUUGGUGGAAAGGGUUUUUCUGGUGGGGGAUGGGCUCGCGGCCUAUCAGCUUGUUGGUGGGGUGAUGGCCUACCAAGGCUUUGACGGGUAGCCGGCCUGAGAGGGUGACCGGUCACAUUGGGACUGAGAUACGGCCCAGACCCCUACGGGAGGCAGCAGUGGGGAAUAUUGCACAAUGGGCGCAAGCCUGAUGCAGCGACGCCGCGUGAGGGAUGGAGGCCUUCGGGUUGUGAACCUCUUUCGCUCAUGGUCAAGCCGCAACAAUGGUUGUGGUGAGGGUAGUGGGUAAAGAAGCGCCGGCUAACUACGUG
Molecule: ribosomal RNA, 483 nt
Filed under: uncultured bacterium
Lineage: Bacteria
Description: partial 16S ribosomal RNA
Rfam family: Bacterial small subunit ribosomal RNA
Source: RNAcentral